This is a small nuclear RNA of 136 nucleotides. Its record names the gene U2. It matches the Rfam family "U2 spliceosomal RNA". Rfam says of the family: U2 is a small nuclear RNA (snRNA) component of the spliceosome (involved in pre-mRNA splicing). Complementary binding between U2 snRNA (in an area lying towards the 5' end but 3' to hairpin I) and the branchpoint sequence (BPS) of the intron results the bulging out of an unpaired adenosine, on the BPS, which initiates a nucleophilic attack at the intronic 5' splice site, thus starting the first of two transesterification reactions that mediate splicing. The record is from Ensembl.
AUCGCUUCUCGGCCUUUUGGCUAAGAUCAAGUGUAGUUAUUUCUAUGUAAAUGUAUACAUUUGUAUUAGGUUUUGUACAGCAGUGGGAUCACACUCUAUAUACUCUUUUGUAACUUAUUUAUCAUGAGAACUUUUC